GUUGUGAUACUACAUGCUGGGGUUUUAAGAGAGGAGCUUUCCAUAGUGAUCACAUCUAUGGCCGUGACCUUACAUUAUUCUUUCUUAUCU
Molecule: long non-coding RNA, 90 nt
Organism: Hippocampus comes (tiger tail seahorse)
Lineage: Eukaryota; Metazoa; Chordata; Actinopteri; Syngnathiformes; Syngnathidae
Exons: 3
Source: RefSeq, a predicted model, not a curated record